RNAcentral lists this ribosomal RNA (1371 nucleotides) under uncultured bacterium. Its description in RNAcentral is "bacterial SSU rRNA". It matches the Rfam family "Bacterial small subunit ribosomal RNA". The record is from RNAcentral.
UUUGAUCAUGGCUCAGAGUGAACGCUGGCGGCGUGCCUAAUACAUGCAAGUCGAACGGAGAUUAAGUAGCUUGCUAUUUAAUCUUAGUGGCGCACGGGUGAGUAAUAUAUAGCUAAUCUGCCCUACACUAGAGGACAACAGUUGGAAACGACUGCUAAUACUCUAUACUCCUUCUUUACAUAAGUUAAGUCGGGAAAGUUUUUCGGUGUAGGAUGAGGCUAUAUCGUAUCAGCUAGUUGGUAGGGUAACGGCCUACCAAGGCUAUGACGCGUAACUGGUCUGAGAGGAUGAUCAGUCACACUGGAACUGAGACACGGUCCAGACUCCUACGGGAGGCAGCAGUAGGGAAUAUUGCUCAAUGGGGGAAACCCUGAAGCAGCAACGCCGCGUGGAGGAUGACACUUUUCGGAGCGUAAACUCCUUUUCUUGGGAAAGAAUUAUGACGGUACCCAAGGAAUAAGCACCGGCUAACUCCGUGCCAGCAGCCGCGGUAAUACGGAGGGUGCAAGCGUUACUCGGAAUCACUGGGCGUAAAGGACGCGUAGGCGGAUUAUCGAGUCUCUUGUGAAAUCUAACGGCUUAACCGUUAAACUGCUUGGGAAACUGAUAAUCUAGAGUAAGGGAGAGGCAGAUGGAAUUCUUGGUGUAGGGGUAAAAUCCGUAGAGAUCAAGAAGAAUACCCAUUGCGAAAGCGAUCUGCUGGAACUUAACUGACGCUAAUGCGUGAAAGCGUGGGGAGCAAACAGGAUUAGAUACCCUGGUAGUCCACGCCCUAAACGAUGUAUACUAGUUGUUGCUUCGCUAGUCGAGGCAGUAAUGCACCUAACGGAUUAAGUAUACCGCCUGGGGAGUACGGUCGCAAGAUUAAAACUCAAAGGAAUAGACGGGGACCCGCACAAGCGGUGGAGCAUGUGGUUUAAUUCGAAGAUACGCGAAGAACCUUACCCGGACUUGAUAUCUAACAAAUCAUCCAGAGAUGGAAGAGUGUCUGCUUGCAGAAAUGUUAAGACAGGUGCUGCACGGCUGUCGUCAGCUCGUGUCGUGAGAUGUUGGGUUAAGUCCCGCAACGAGCGCAACCCACGUCAUUAGUUGCUAACGGUUCGGCCGAGCACUCUAAUGAGACUGCCUUCGUAAGGAGGAGGAAGGUGUGGACGACGUCAAGUCAUCAUGGCCCUUAUGUCCGGGGCGACACACGUGCUACAAUGGCGUAUACAAUAAGACGCAAUAUCGCGAGAUGGAGCAAAUCUAUAAAAUACGUCCCAGUUCGGAUUGGAGUCUGCAACUCGACUCCAUGAAGCCGGAAUCGUUAGUAAUCGUAGAUCAGCCAUGCUACGGUGAAUACGUUCCCGGGUCUUGUACACACCGCCCGUC